UCUGCUUUAGUCCAAAAUGUAGUAAACAUUUUCAUCGGCUAUAUCACAAUACAAGAGACUGCACCAUCCCAGCAUACUAUAAAAGAUGUGCCAGGCUUCUUACUCGGUUGGCAGUAAGUCCAAUGUGCAUGGAAGGAUAAGAUGUUAUUACCAUAAA
This is a long non-coding RNA of Alligator sinensis (Chinese alligator), 157 nucleotides long. RefSeq lists it as uncharacterized. Lineage: Eukaryota; Metazoa; Chordata; Crocodylia; Alligatoridae. The transcript has 3 exons. The record is from RefSeq and is a predicted model, not a curated record.